RNAcentral lists this ribosomal RNA (253 nucleotides) under uncultured bacterium. RNAcentral's name for it is "partial 16S ribosomal RNA". It matches the Rfam family "Bacterial small subunit ribosomal RNA", at positions 524 to 776 of the family's 1533-position model. The record is from RNAcentral.
AACGUAGGUACCGAGCGUUAUCCGGAUUUACUGGGCGUAAAGCGUGUUCAGGCGGCCUGGCAAGUCGGGCAUGAAAUCUCUCGGCUCAACCGAGAGAGGCUGUCCGAUACUGCUGGGCUUGAAGACGGUAGAGGGUGGUGGAAUUCCGCGUGUAGUGGUGAAAUGCGUAGAUAUGCGGAGGAACACCAGUGGCGAAGGCGGCCACCUGGACCGUCCCUGACGCUCAAACACGAAAGCUAGGGUAGCGAACGGG